RNAcentral lists this ribosomal RNA (255 nucleotides) under uncultured bacterium. RNAcentral's name for it is "partial 16S ribosomal RNA". It matches the Rfam family "Bacterial small subunit ribosomal RNA", at positions 242 to 490 of the family's 1533-position model. The record is from RNAcentral.
UAGCUAGUAGGUGGGGUAACGGCUCACCUAGGCGACGAUCCCUAGCUGGUCUGAGAGGAUGACCAGCCACACUGGAACUGAGACACGGUCCAGACUCCUACGGGAGGCAGCAGUGGGGAAUAUUGCACAAUGGGCGCAAGCCUGAUGCAGCCAUGCCGCGUGUAUGAAGAAGGCCUUCGGGUUGUAAAGUACUUUCAGCGAGGAGAGAAGGUGGUAAGGUUAAUAACCUUAUCAAAGACGUACUCGCAGAAGAAG